CAUUUUUGUUCAACUCUGUAAGUGAUUUGAUUUUGAAACAAUAGAGAGAUUAGCAUGGUCUUUAUACAAGGAUGACAUGCAAAUUAAUGAAGUUGUUCACUUUCUU
Molecule: small nuclear RNA, 106 nt
Filed under: Myotis davidii
Lineage: Eukaryota; Metazoa; Chordata; Mammalia; Chiroptera; Vespertilionidae
Source: RNAcentral